Molecule: ribosomal RNA, 460 nt
Filed under: uncultured bacterium
Lineage: Bacteria
Description: partial 16S ribosomal RNA
Rfam family: Bacterial small subunit ribosomal RNA
Source: RNAcentral
CCUACGGGCGGCAGCAGUGAGGAAUAUUGGUCAAUGGGCGCUAGCCUGAACCAGCCAAGUCGCGUGAAGGAUGACUGCCCUAUGGGUUGUAAACUUCUUUUAUAUGGGAAUAAAGUGCAGUAUGUAUACUGCUUUGCAUGUACCUUAUGACUAAGCAUCGGCUAACUCCGUGCCAGCAGCCGCGGUAAUACGGAGGAUCCGAGCGUUAUCCGGAUUUAUUGGGUGUAAAGGGUGCGUAGGAGGGUUGUUAAGUCAAUUGUGAAAUGUUGCGGCUCAACCGUAAAAUUGCAGUUGAUACUGGCAUCCUUGAGUACAGGAGAGGUAGGCGGAAUGCGUGGUGUAGCGGUGAAAUGCGUAGAUAUCACGAAGAACUCCGAUUGCGAAGGCAGCUUGCUGGACUAUAACUGACGCUGAUGCUCGAAAGCGUGGGUAUCAAACAGGAUUAGAUACCCCGGUAGUC